AGAGAGAGACAUGCGCGCAUAUCAAUAAGCGGAGGAAAAGAAACUAACAAGGAUUCCCUUAGUAACGGCGAGUGAAGCGGGAAGAGCUCAAAUUUGAAAUCUUCAAGGUUCUACCUUGACGAAUUGUAGUUUAUAGAAGUGUUUUCUGUUAGUGGAGUGGCAAAAGUUCUUUGGAAUAGGACAUCAUAGAGGGUGAGAAUCCCGUAUUUGGUCAUUCCUCCUAGCGUUGUGAUACACUUUCAACGAGUCGGAUUGUUUGGGAUUGCAGUCCAAAAUGGGUGGUAAAUUUCAUCUAAAGCUAAAUAUUGGCGAGAGACCGAUAGCGAACAAGUACCGUGAGGGAAAGAUGAAAAGAACUUUGAAAAGAGAGUUAAACAGUACGUGAAAUUGUCAAAAGGGAAGCGUUUGACACCAGUGUUGUUUUUCCGAAAAUCAAUUACGAAUGUUUUGUUUUUGAGGAGUUAUGACUUCAUCGGCUUGCUCCUUUCUUUACGAAACUUUCUUAAUGCACUUUUCGGUUAACAAGUCAACAUCAAUUUCUUUUGUUGUAAAAGGGUAUGAGGAAGGUGGCUUUCUUUUCGGAGAAAGUGUUUAUAGCCUUGUACCUCUGCAAUCGGAGAGAUUGAGGUCUGCAGCGUAGAUCCCUCGGGGUUAGAUACAUUUGUGCUAAGUUAUAGCUUUUCAUAGACAACUUGUUGACUAUGUUUAGUCUUGUAGCUUACUCGCUUAUGCUAUUUUACCUACGCUUAGGAUGUUGAUCUGUAGUGCGUGCGC
Molecule: ribosomal RNA, 774 nt
Filed under: uncultured Neocallimastigales
Lineage: Eukaryota; Fungi; Neocallimastigomycota; Neocallimastigomycetes; Neocallimastigales
Description: partial large subunit ribosomal RNA
Rfam family: Eukaryotic large subunit ribosomal RNA
Source: RNAcentral